UCUCGUGGCAAAAAUAAAGUAGAAAUUAGAUCGUGCGCAACGCUCAUUGCUCUGGCCAGCCCAGAGGGGCUGCGGGUGGAGUUGCUGCAAUCCUUGCUCCUAAUCCUUCCCCUCUCAGGGCAGGAGCCGCUGGUGUCCCAGCAUCACACAGCCUUGGGGGUGGCAGGCUGGGCCAUGGGACAGCUGCCAGUGCCCUGAGCCUCAAGGUUUGCGGACUCUGGGGCAUCUUCCAGGACGCUGUUCCAAGGCAGAAAUGACUUCUAGUCCCCAAAUCACAAGAACAGACUUUGGUGUCCCAGGAGAUUUGCUCCACCUGGGAUAGAUGGAGGCCAUGAGGGUUUUAUCCCAUCAUCCAGCAGAGAGACAUCAAUGAGAUUUUCCCACUAGUGCCGAGGACUGGAGCCAAACCCCACACGGUGCUGCGAAAACCUCAAGUGGAAGCCUUGCCAGGGAUGGAGUAGGUAAAAGCUGCUCACUUUGAAUCUCUGGGUAUUUCAUCAUGAGCAGGAUGGACCACUGGAGCGUGGUGGCAAUAGUCUCUGUCCCAGCCAUGACCAGAUCAAGUAUGGAUGCCAUUAAGUUGUCAUCAUGGAAGAGGCUGUCUUUCUUGUUCUUCUCCUUGAAAAGCACAAGAGGUGCAAUGGCUGCUUCUGAACAUUUGAAAACUGCUGAAGUAAAUCCUAUGGCUGGUGUGGCUCACCUGCCAGCGUAAAAAAAAAUGGUUUAUCUGUGGGACAGGUUACUUACGUUUAAAUUCGGGGAUCCCAGAAGAAUCAUGACUUCAUCUAUGAGUCUUAAGAGAGUGAGAAAGGUUGGGUCCUUGUAGUCAAACCUGUCCCCAAAGAGCAUGACGAAGGUGACGUUGAUGGGAGCGCAGUUGAAGGACGGCAGGCUGAAAGGUUCCCCUGCAGCGGGAGCGGGAUGGGAAAGCUGUGAGGCGUGGAGCAGCUGUGACACACACGAGGCUGGGCAGCCCCGGGAUGGUCCCCAGCUCACCUUUGAAGGAUUUGAUCAUCUCGAUGAGGAAGUGAAGCUCCUCAAAGAUUCUGCCUUCUAUCAUUUGUUUCCCCAUGCCGAGGUUGCGCAUGCUGGACACGGUGAAUCUCCGCGUUGUCCUCCACAGCUCCCCGAUGGAGAAGAACAGACCUGGGCAGCCCGUGAGAAAUGUGCUGGGCUCAGGCACGGAGGAGCCCCCCACACCAAACCAAACAGGGAGCUCCACAGGUGUUUCUGCUGCCUGUUUUCACGUGGAUUUAGGGACUAAAGGCCUCCCCUUUCUGUGAGCCUCAUCCCUGUAUCCUCUCAGCUCUGUUCCCACUGAGCUUGUAGUUUGGGAAAAGCAAGCUCCCUCCCAGCCCAGUUACCCCAGUCCUCUCCUGAGUGGCAGAUGGGCAGGUGUGCCCUUCAGACCAGCGUGGGUUGGCUGUGGAGCUGGGGGGAGAUGUUGCCUAGAGCCAGUCACGGGACAUUUUUGACCCUGCUGGUUGCAAGUCUAGGACCUCUAGCUCCUCGUGUCUCUGAAGCUUCUCCCUUCACCCUAUUUUAGUCAUAAAAGUAGUUUAACUGUGUGAGAUGGGAUAAUUCAGUCUCCUCAAAUCUAAACUGUUUCAUGGAGGUUCUCAGCAGUGCUGUAUUUUCAGCAGUGGCAAAAAUGCUGACAUUUUUGUGGAGGUUUCUGAGUUCAUGCCACGAUGAUCUCUAGCACCUCCGAGCAGGGAUGGGUAUUUCAUCCUGUCAGAGUGCUGUAAAGGAAAAGUUGGGUCAAUAAUCCAAAAGCUAUCUCAGACUGUGGUCAGUUGAAAAGCUGGAUGCCAGCACUUCACAUCUUCAUUUUGGUUGUGAGGCUUUUAAAUAUGUUUGCUUUUCUGUUUUAGAGCAGUGUAGUUUUAAUUUGGAUAGCAAAACUUUUUGCUCUAAAAAUGUCAAAGCAAAUUUCUAAACUUCAAUUUUUAGUUUUUCUUUAAUUUAUGCAAUUUCAUCUGGAUCAUUCCUUUUCUGAGAGCAUCUUCACAGUCAACAAAUUGGCAUUUUCUGAAGAGAAAAUGUUUCAUGGGAAAAUUUGUGACCGUUGUUGCUUAACAGCCCCUGAGAACUUCUAUCUUUGGGUCACCUCUAAGUGCCUCAGACUUGGGCUGAGAAGGUAAAUGUGAAAGGACUUAUGAUGCAAUACUGAUAGUCUCCCACAGGGAUGUUUUACAUGUAAAUUAGCUCUAAAAAAUACCUUUCUCCUCAUCGAUUCCUUUUAUUUAUGUAGCAAUAAAUUCAUCUAUUGAUAUUAUGGCUGGGUAAUUAAAUUUCUAAUUCUAAUCCCAACUUCAGCCUGUGACCAGCAUAUAAAGUUCUUUUGGUUCUCCUGGCUAAAGCCUCACAUGAAGCAGAAGAUGGACAAAGCAAAAUAGUCAGGGGUGGAAAGUUACCUUGGAAAAACUAUGGGAUUGUUUGCGGGGACGAAUUUCAGCCUUUUGCUUCUGCCUGAACCUACUUCAGGCUGGUCAAGCUGAGAACUUUUGUGGGGAGGCAAAGGUGUGGGAACUGACACGACAAAGGCAGUGGGAGAAAGGGAAAAACCCGACAGCUCCGAACAGCCAAGCCAGGUAGUCCAAAGUCUCCUGGAAAUGUGCAGAAGGUUCAUAAACACGGUGGUGACAGCGAGCU
This is a long non-coding RNA of Hirundo rustica (Barn swallow), 2655 nucleotides long. RefSeq lists it as uncharacterized. Lineage: Eukaryota; Metazoa; Chordata; Aves; Passeriformes; Hirundinidae. The transcript has 5 exons. The record is from RefSeq and is a predicted model, not a curated record.